Non-coding RNA from Pichia kudriavzevii, 95 nucleotides. The record is from Rfam. NCBI's taxonomy places the organism in Eukaryota, Fungi, Ascomycota, Pichiomycetes, Pichiales, Pichiaceae.
ACACACUGAUGAGCAACCAGAUAGGGACAACUGACUCGCCAUGGAGAGGAACAUCUAAUCUAACAAGGUCUUAGUAGAACUCUUGGUUUCUGAGU